Molecule: unclassified non-coding RNA, 2113 nt
Filed under: Leishmania donovani
Lineage: Eukaryota; Euglenozoa; Kinetoplastea; Trypanosomatida; Trypanosomatidae
Description: gene:LdHU3.36.4640(CDS-product:oxidoreductase_put ative)
Source: RNAcentral
CCGUUUGCGGUGUCUCCCUCUUUGCCUGCCCCCACAAGGGCAACGACGCCACGCAGUGAGUACCCUUGCACACCCUCAGAGACAUCAACGGCGUUGGCGCACUGUCCACCUGGCAUUGCGGGCCUGUUCUUCCUCUCUCCUUUGUUGGUGGGGCAUGAACAAGGCGUACGACAUCAUCGUGAUCGGCUCCGGCGCCGCGGGCUGUGCGGCCGCGCGCGCCUGCGCUCUGCACCACCCUGCUGCCUCCAUCGCCCUCAUUGAGCAAGGCAGUCGCACGGCUGUUCCGUGGGUGAUGCGGGUACCACUAAUGCAGCCCUACAUCGCAUCAGUGAGGAAGGCCAGGCCAUUUCUACAGACGUUGUCGUGCGUAGCGGAGGCAAACCUAGCCGGCCGCUCUCUGCCGUUCACGCUUGGCCGUGGCCUCGGCGGCAGCUGGCUUUGCAACGACAUGAAGUACAUGCGCGGCACUCGCAAGGACUACGAAAGAUGGGCUGACGCCUCUUGGACCUACGACACGCUGCUGCCGGUUUUCAAGAGUCUGGAGGCGAACUCACGCGGCGGUUCGCGCGACCACGGUGAGGACGGCCCCCUGCGCGUGACGGAUGCACAGCGCAGCAAUAUCGACUCGGGCAUGAAUGUGCGGUUCUUCGAAGCCUGCGAGGCAGCGGGAGUGCCUGCGACGAACGACUUCAACACUGGCCAGGUGGACGGCUUCUCGGCCAUGCAGUCCUACAUCGACGGAGGCGCGCGCGUGCAGGCUUUCGACGCGUUGAUUGAGGGCACGCAGCCCCGCGCUCCAAAUCUCGAUCUGCUGGACGAAACUUGCGCUGAGCGCAUCCACUGCAGGGCUGGAAGGGUGUGCGACGUGGAGGUUUCGCACCGCGGAGACAAGAGGCUAUUAGAGGCCCGGCACGUCGUCGUGUGCGCUGGAACGCUGCGCAGUCCACUCCUGCUGCAGCACAGCGGCAUCGGUGCCAAAGGUAGCGUGCUGGACGCGCCGGCGGUCGGGCAGAACCUGAUCACCACAAGCGCCGCCGAUCUCGUCUUUCGCAUCCGCAACUCAUCCAACGUCUACAGCAAGUCCAUCAGCUGGCGCAACUCGUCGUAUUUGUACCGGCAGUGGCGCGAGUACAAGGAGAACGGCACCGGCGUGUUUAGCGCCUUCGUCGAGGGUGCUGCCUACGUGCGGUCGCAGCCGCAGCAAGACGCGCCGGAUCUGUCCAUUCUCUUCUUUCGCACCCCGCAAAUGGGGAUGACGCACUGGCCGAUGGACGGCUUCACGAUGCGGGUGACGCAUCACUACCCGUCGAGUCGCGGCGAGGUGCUCUACGACGGCAGCAAGGGCACCACGUUCAUUCGAAGCGGGAUGCUCUCCACAAGGGAGGAUGUGCUGGCCAUGGAUGAAGGGGUGCAGUGGGUGGGCCUCCUGACCACGCGCGACGGCACGCUGCAGUCAGUCAACCACGUCGAUGAGAAGGGACGGCAUGUGAGUCCGUUCUGGUCCUACGGCGCGGCACUACACCACCCCCGCGACGGCCUCAUCACACAACGCAGCACAGCUGCCUUCUUGGCGGAGCAUGUGAAGAGCGGCGGAGAUCUCUACGGCACCUGCGCCAUGGGCACCGUGGUGGACAGCCAGCUGCGCGUGAAUGGGAUUGCCGGGCUGUUCGUGGCGGACAGCAGCGUUGUGCCGUUGCCCACAGUGGCGAGUAGCAGCACGCUUGGCAGUGCCAUCGGUGCCCGCGUCGCUUCCUUUAUUCACUGAGGGAUGGCGGCGUACACUGGCUAUUGCAGUACCGUGCCUGCACUCUCCUCACUCGAAUUAGCGCGCGUGUCUACUCUUUGGUGCUGCGGUGGUGGAAGCUGCGGCUCUGUCAACACCAUGGCUUUCAGCCCCCUAUCUUUGCGCACGCGUGGGUGGCGUGUGCGUGGGUGGCGUGUGCGUGUGUGUCGCAGGCGUGUUGCUCGCUUCCUGCAUGUGGUGUUGUCGUCGUGGUCUUUGCUGAGCCGUGCGACCUCCAGUGACUGCUCCCUCACCGACACAUCAUCAUGCGGAGGACAGAGAAGCUAACGGGUUGGAGACGGAGAGAGCCUCAAUCACGGCUAACGAAGG